GCCCGGAUGGUGAAAUUGGUAGACACAAGGGACUUAAAAUCCCUCGGCUUUUAUCGGCCAUGCCGGUUCGAUUCCGGCUCCGGGCACCA
Molecule: transfer RNA, 89 nt
Filed under: Betaproteobacteria bacterium
Lineage: Bacteria; Pseudomonadati; Pseudomonadota; Betaproteobacteria
Description: tRNA-Leu
Rfam family: tRNA
About the family: Transfer RNA (tRNA) molecules are approximately 80 nucleotides in length. Their secondary structure includes four short double-helical elements and three loops (D, anti-codon, and T loops).
Source: RNAcentral